This 494-nucleotide ribosomal RNA is filed under the name uncultured bacterium. RNAcentral's name for it is "partial 16S ribosomal RNA". It matches the Rfam family "Bacterial small subunit ribosomal RNA", at positions 28 to 507 of the family's 1533-position model. The record is from RNAcentral.
GACGAACGCUGGCGGCGUGCUUAACACAUGCAAGUCGAACGGUGAAGCGCCUUCCUUUUUGGUGGGUGUGGAUGAGUGGCGAACGGGUGAGUAACACGUGAGUAACCUGCCCCCUUCUUCUGGAUAACCGCAUGAAAGUGUGGCUAAUACGGGAUAUUCUGGGUCUGUCGCAUGAUGGGUCUGGGAAAGAUAUUGUUUCGGUGGGGGAUGGGCUCGCGGCCUAUCAGCUUGUUGGUGGGGUGAUGGCCUGCCAAGGCGGUGACGGGUAGCCGGCCUGAGAGGGUGGACGGUCACACUGGGACUGAGACACGGCCCAGACUCCUACGGGAGGCAGCAGUGGGGAAUAUUGCACAAUGGGCGCAAGCCUGAUGCAGCGACGCCGCGUGAGGGAUGGAGGCCUUCGGGUUGUGAACCUCUUUCGCCAGUGAAGCAGGCCUGCCUCGUUUGUGGGUGGGUUGACGGUAGCUGGAUAAGAAGCGCCGGCUAACUACGUG